AUUUAAAUAGUUUAAUUUAAAAUUUUGAUUUGUGGAAUCAAUGAUGUGAUAAUUCACUUUAAAUA
RNAcentral lists this transfer RNA (65 nucleotides) under Gyrohypnus fracticornis. Its description in RNAcentral is "tRNA-His". The record is from RNAcentral. Lineage: Eukaryota; Metazoa; Arthropoda; Insecta; Coleoptera; Staphylinidae.